RNAcentral lists this long non-coding RNA (202 nucleotides) under Olea europaea (common olive). RNAcentral's name for it is "long non-coding RNA (OEUR_LNC004035)". The record is from RNAcentral. Lineage: Eukaryota; Viridiplantae; Streptophyta; Magnoliopsida; Lamiales; Oleaceae.
GUAUUAUUUUCCCUGCAGAAUGGAUCUUUGAAAAUUGCGUGAGGAUUGUAUCAUUCAAUAAUAGAAUGAGUAAAAAGUUCAAAGUGAGAGAAGUAUACCUUGAAUGAGUUGGAUGCCAUCGUAAAUUCCAAACCAUUCAUCACAAGGAUGUUUUCCAUAGCCAUGUACACAGAAGAUUAAUCAAGAUUGGCAAAUUUACACA